CCUACGGGAGGCAGCAGUGGGGAAUAUUGCGCAAUGGGCGAAAGCCUGACGCAGCCAUGCCGCGUGAGUGAUGAAGGCCCUCGGGUCGUAAAGCUCUGUCGGGAGGGGCGAAGGGUGGCAACACUCUGACGGUACCUCGCAAGAAAGCACCGGCUAACUCCGUGCCAGCAGCCGCGGUAAUACGGAGGGUGCAAGCGUUGCUCGGAUUUACUGGGCGUAAAGCGACCGCAGGCGGUCGAUUAAGUUUGACGUGAAAGCCCCGGGCUCAACUCGGGAAGUGCGUCAAAAACUGGUCGACUUGAGUACGGGAGAGGAGAGUGGAAUUCCUGGUGUAGAGGUGAAAUUCGUAGAUAUCAGGAGGAACACCGGCGGCGAAGGCGGCUCUCUGGCCCGAUACUGACGCUCAUGGUCGAAAGCGUGGGGAGCAAACAGGAUUAGAUACCCUGGUAGUCCACGCUGUAAACGAUGAGUGCUCGCUGAUGGAGGUCUAUACCCUUUCAUUGGCAAAGCUAACGCAUUAAGCACUCCGCCUGGGGAAUACGGUCGCAAGACUAAAACUCAAAGGAAUUGACGG
Molecule: ribosomal RNA, 574 nt
Filed under: uncultured bacterium
Lineage: Bacteria
Description: bacterial SSU rRNA
Rfam family: Bacterial small subunit ribosomal RNA
Source: RNAcentral